UACGUAGGCAGCAAGCGUUGUUCGGAAUUACUGGGCGUAAAGAGUGUGUAGGCGGUCGGCUAAGUUCGGUGUGAAAUCUCCCGGCUCAACUGGGAGGGUGCGCCGGAAACUGGCGGGCUGGAGCGUGGGAGAGGAAAGCGGAAUUCCUGGUGUAGCGGUGAAAUGCGUAGAGAUCAGGAGGAACACCAGCGGUGUAGACGGCUUUCUGGACCAUAGCUGACGCUGAGACACGAAAGCGUGGGUAGCAAACAGG
Molecule: unclassified non-coding RNA, 253 nt
Filed under: uncultured Solibacteraceae bacterium
Lineage: Bacteria; Pseudomonadati; Acidobacteriota; Terriglobia; Bryobacterales; Solibacteraceae
Description: contains 16S-23S intergenic spacer region
Rfam family: Bacterial small subunit ribosomal RNA
Source: RNAcentral